Long non-coding RNA from Vitis vinifera (wine grape), 678 nucleotides. RefSeq lists it as uncharacterized. The record is from RefSeq and is a predicted model, not a curated record. The transcript is spliced from 2 exons. Lineage: Eukaryota; Viridiplantae; Streptophyta; Magnoliopsida; Vitales; Vitaceae.
UCCCUCCCUCCCUCCCACCCAUGUCUACCCAAAGAGCAAGAGCUUCACGAGUCACCGACGAUGAGAUUAACGACCUCAUCCUCAAACUGCAGGCGUUGCUACCUCAUUCAAAUCAAAGGCGCACGUCUACAGGGGCAUCGGCAUGGAGGAUUCUGAAAGAAACGUGCAGUUACAUAAAGAGGCUACACAGAGAGGUGGGCGACCUGAGUGAGAGACUAUCCCAGCUUCUUGAUUCUCUUGAUAAUAUUAAUGGUGUUGAGGUUGAGCAACUUAGAAGUUUAUUGCAGCGAUAGAUCUUUAGUCCCCUUCCUCUCUCAGCUGGAAUUGCUUUCAAGUCAUAAUACCAGACAAAAGAUGUAUUAUAUCUUCCUGCAACCCACCCCACAAUGUUCUGAUUUUCUUCUUUCUUUGUCUGGUCAGGACUCCAACCAGUGAGAUAAAUUAUUUAUGUGCAACAUAUAUGUAUUUGGGUUUUUCUUCGGGUCUCUUUUCUAUUUCUCUCUUCUUUGUCGUUUAGGUGCUGAGUUUUUCUUAAAACAAAGUACUGAUUUUGGGGUUCAAGGCUGAAGUAGAAUAUCAUAUGCAGCUAACAGACCUCAAAUGCUGUGUUUGAUUUAGUAAAUUAUGGGAUCAUGAUUCGAUGUUUAGAAUAUAAUAAGACAGGAGAAUACAAAACCA